Molecule: long non-coding RNA, 596 nt
Organism: Ailuropoda melanoleuca (giant panda)
Lineage: Eukaryota; Metazoa; Chordata; Mammalia; Carnivora; Ursidae
Exons: 3
Source: RefSeq, a predicted model, not a curated record
AAGAGGCGGGACCCAGGGAGGGGGCGGGCAGCGGGCGGCUGGAGCAUGCGCGGAAGGGCUCGUGCGUGCCACGCGCCCCUUGUCUGGCCAGCACCGCGUCCGCACCGUCCCGGUUUUUUUUUUUUUCUCCCGAGCCUGGGGAGUGGCCGCUGCCUGGGCCCCGCCCCGCUCCCUAGCUCGGGCCGUGGGGGUUUGGUUCCGUGUGUUUCCGCUAGGCGGGGACCCUGGCCGGCGAGACCUGAGUCGCGCUGAGGCCCUUUGCGGCGGUUCCAUCUUCGCCUGGACGGUUCCUUGCAGGCGGUGCGCAGCUGUUGGGUUGUGGCCGGAAGAAGACCCCAGGAUUUGGGCCGUGGCUCUAGUCUACAAAGUUGCUUAAACAGAAGAACAGAAGAUGGGACAACAGCAACAUAAUUUUGGACGCUGGAAAACAGAUGAACAAGAGCUUAGUAACAGACCUGGCAAAUCUUUCUACCAAACAUGAAAAAAGGGCUCAAGGUCUCUGCAUUUAGCAAUCAAUGUUCAUAGACUCAGCACCCACAAGGCGCCUGGGUGGCUCAGUCAGUUAAACAUCUACCUUCGGCUUAGGUCAUGAUCCC